This 815-nucleotide ribosomal RNA is filed under the name Vittaforma corneae. RNAcentral describes it as "SSU rRNA". It matches the Rfam family "Microsporidia small subunit ribosomal RNA", at positions 94 to 943 of the family's 1311-position model. The record is from RNAcentral. Lineage: Eukaryota; Fungi; Microsporidia; Nosematidae.
AAACUGCGAUGAUUUAGUCUGGCUGUGUAGAUAACUACGUGAAAAUGUAGCUAAGGGAAGGCAGAAUAAGACGCAGGACUAUCAGUUAGUUGGUAGUGUAAUGGACUACCAAGACAGUGACGGUUGACGGGAAAUUAGGGUUUUGUACCGGAGAGGGAGCCUGAGAGAUUGCUCCCACGUCCAAGGACGGCAGCAGGCGCGAAAAUUGCCCACUCUUUGCAGGAGGCAGUUAUGAGACGUGAAGAUGAGUAUCUUGUAAAGAGGGAUAGGAGAAUUGGAGGGCAAGUUUGGUGCCAGCAGCCGCGGUAAUACCGACUCCAAGAGUGUGUAUGAGAGAUGCUGCAGUUAAAAAGUCCGUAGUCAUAGAAGGGCAAAGAGAGAUGCGAGGUCUCACAGUGCGAUGAUGGAGGAGCCGAUGGGGAACAUAGUAUACCAGGGCGAGAGAUGAAAUGCCAAGACCCCUGGUGGACUGAGCGAGGCGAAGGCGAUGUUCUUGUAGGCAUUCGGUGAUCAAGGACGAAGGCUGGAGUAUCGAAAGUGAUUAGAUACCGCAGUAGUUCCAGCAGUAAAAGAUGCCGACAUGCUCAUUGGACACAGUGGGCAGGGAGAAAUCUUAGAGUUCGGGCUCUGGGGAUAGUAUGCUCGCAAGGGUGAAAAUUAAAGAAAUUGACGGAGCUACACCACAAGGAGUGGAUUGUGCGGCUUAAUUUGACUCAACGCGAGGAAACUUACCAGGGCCAAGUAUUGUGUAGAAACGAGCAAUACAGGAGUGGUGCAUGGUCGUUGGAAAUUGAUGGGAUGACUUUGACCUUAAA